Molecule: ribosomal RNA, 328 nt
Filed under: uncultured eukaryote
Lineage: Eukaryota
Description: partial 18S ribosomal RNA
Rfam family: Eukaryotic small subunit ribosomal RNA
Source: RNAcentral
CCCUUAGAUGCUCUGGGCCGCACGCGCGCUACACUGGUCGAUGCAACGAGUUUCUUUCCUUGGCCGACAGGCCUGGGCAAUCUUUGAACAUCGAUCGUGAUCGGGAUAGAUUCUUGUAAUUUUUGAUCUUAAACGAGGAAUUCCUAGUAAACGCAAGUCAUCAGCUUGCAUUGAUUACGUCCCUGCCCUUUGUACACACCGCCCGUCGCUACUACCGAUUGAACGUUUUAGUGAGGUACUCGGACUGAGCCUCAGAAGAUUCACGUCUUUUGUGCUGCUCGGGAAGAUUCCCAAACUUGAGCGUUUAGAGGAAGUAAAAGUCGUAACA